GACGAACGCUAGCGGAAUGCUUUACACAUGCAAGUCGAACGGCAGCACGGACUUCGGUCUGGUGGCGAGUGGCGAACGGGUGAGUAAUGUAUCGGAACGUGCCCAGUCGUGGGGGAUAACGUAGUGAAAAUUACGCUAAUACCGCAUACGAUCUAUGGAUGAAAGCGGGGGAUCGCAAGACCUCGCGCGAUUGGAGCGGCCGAUAUCAGAUUAGGUAGUUGGUGGGGUAAAGGCCCACCAAGCCAACGAUCUGUAGCUGGUCUGAGAGGACGACCAGCCACACUGGAACUGAGACACGGUCCAGACUCCUACGGGAGGCAGCAGUGGGGAAUUUUGGACAAUGGGCGAAAGCCUGAUCCAGCCAUUCCGCGUGCAGGAUGAAGGCCCUCGGGUUGUAAACUGCUUUUGUACAGAACGAAAAGGUUUCUACUAAUACUGGGAGCUCAUGACGGUACUGUAAGAAUAAGCACCGGCUAACUACGUGCCAGCCGCCGCAGUAA
Molecule: ribosomal RNA, 500 nt
Filed under: uncultured bacterium
Lineage: Bacteria
Description: partial 16S ribosomal RNA
Rfam family: Bacterial small subunit ribosomal RNA
Source: RNAcentral